AUUUAUAUAGUUUAAAUAUAAAACAUUACAUUUUCAUUGUAAUAAUAAAAAAUUUUUUUUUUAUAAAUA
This 69-nucleotide transfer RNA is filed under the name Griseosphinx preechari. Its description in RNAcentral is "tRNA-Glu". Lineage: Eukaryota; Metazoa; Arthropoda; Insecta; Lepidoptera; Sphingidae. The record is from RNAcentral.